AGUGGAGAGAGAUGAGGUUGAGUAUAAGUCUUGGACGUCAUAUCAGGCCUCGUAGGCUAUGGGUAAAAGUUUGGAUUUAAUUCUAAGUGCAAUGGGAAGCCCUUGGAAGAUUAUGAUCAGAGGGAUUUCAUGAUUUUAUUUUGCAAACAUCUCAAUUUUACUGCUCUGUGAAUAAGAUUAUAAUAAGGGCAAGAAGAAAAAUAGGGCAGCCAGCUAAGAGUAUUGGAUCGGUUCAGAUUAUGAAUACUGGGAUUUCAGAUUACAGAAACAAUAAUAGGACAUACUUGAAAGAUGUUUUCAAGAUGCUGAGCACUGUCACAACUCUCCGAAUGCUUAUCACGAGUCCAGCGUACAGAGACUCCUCUCUCCAAAUCUAGGAGGUCAGAUGGGGUUUGUUACCGCCAGAGAAAAUUGCUCACAGGAACUAUAUCAGUGAUGCUGAGUCCUAACUUAAAAGUACAAACACUUCUGGCUAAGCAGCCAUCCAGAACCUACAGAGGACUUCGACUGAGAUAAAGGAAUAAUUGGGUCACCUGGUGAUGAAACUCAGCUGCUCACUCCUGGAAUGCAUAUCCGCUCCUUGGGAGAGAAGGACAGCUAGUUGGUUGAGGAGGAAAAGUGUUGCUACUCAGCAUUGGAAACCCCAAGGAAAGGCUUUUUGAAAAUAAGCCAAUGCCUCAUUAGCCAUUGGAGAUGUAGGCAUGUUGUGGAUUACUCACUUGAAAUUUGUAUUCCACAAACCACAGAAUCCUA
This is a long non-coding RNA of Canis lupus familiaris (dog), 753 nucleotides long. RefSeq lists it as uncharacterized. The record is from RefSeq and is a predicted model, not a curated record. The transcript is spliced from 3 exons. NCBI's taxonomy places the organism in Eukaryota, Metazoa, Chordata, Mammalia, Carnivora, Canidae.